CCUACGGGAGGCAGCAGUGGGGAAUAUUGGACAAUGGGCGAAAGCCUGAUCCAGCCAUGCCGCGUGUGUGAAGAAGGCCUUCGGGUUGUAAAGCACUUUCAGUGGGGAAGAAAGCCUUGGGGCUAAUACCCUCGAGGAAGGACAUCACCCACAGAAGAAGCACCGGCUAACUCCGUGCCAGCAGCCGCGGUAAUACGGAGGGGGCGAGCGUUAAUCGGAAUUACUGGGCGUAAAGCGCGCGUAGGCGGUCUGAUAAGCCGGUUGUGAAAGCCCCGGGCUCAACCUGGGAACGGCAUCCGGAACUGUCAGGCUAGAGUGCAGGAGAGGAAGGUAGAAUUCCCGGUGUAGCGGUGAAAUGCGUAGAGAUCGGGAGGAAUACCAGUGGCGAAGGCGGCCUUCUGGACUGACACUGACGCUGAGGUGCGAAAGCGUGGGUAGCAAACAGGAUUAGAUACCCUAGUAGUC
Molecule: ribosomal RNA, 465 nt
Filed under: Vreelandella stevensii
Lineage: Bacteria; Pseudomonadati; Pseudomonadota; Gammaproteobacteria; Oceanospirillales; Halomonadaceae
Description: partial 16S ribosomal RNA
Rfam family: Bacterial small subunit ribosomal RNA
Source: RNAcentral